GCGAUUGCCUUAAUUUGCGCUGCUUUUCCUGUGCGCUUUUGCUUGCUCUUCGUCUGCGCUUUUUCUUCUUCUUUUUUUUUCCUCGCAGAGGAGAGGGGAGGGACGGCGUGGGCCGUGCGUGGGGUAAGGUGCCGCUAGCCAGCGCUGCUGGGCGCGGCCGGUGGCGCGCGCCUCGGGCUCGGGGGCUACUACCCGCUGCUGUUCCGGGGCGCCUCGGAGUCGGGCUACCCGCCGGCGCUGGCGCUGGCGCUCGAGGAGUAGGGGCAGAGGCCGCCGCCGCCGCCGCCGAGCCAGGGGGCGUGGCCCCUUCUGCUGCUGCUGGACCUGUCCUGGCGGCGGAGGGGGAGGCGGAGGCGGCGCGAGAGGAGGUGGCCGGCGCUCCGAAAGGUAUUCCACCAAGCGUCGACCCGGAGUUUCUUUAAGUACUGACCUACACACUAAGAGAAGGGGUAUCGUUAUUGUAAGAUGAAGUGGACCACCAAGUAAGUAAAACAACUACCUAAGAAGAGAGGUUAGAUACGUGUUAACCCUUAGUUGUAAAAACCAGAACCGAAGUAGUGAAGACAAUGAAAGUAUAAAAAGCAACCUCAGAAGUACAGUAGAACCCAACCUCGUAGACAAGAACCGUAACCACUUACCUAGUAGUUCGCGUACGGUGAACACGCGGUAUAGAUGUUACGUAGGUUCGUUUAAUCACGACGAUAUAGCGGUCUAGUUUUGUUUGUCCGUAAGUUCCUCCGUCAGUAGUAUGCUGUAGGAGCAUAACCCCUUAUACGUAAACCUAAGUAAUGGAGUAGUCAGAGCGAGGUCUCGAUAAGACCAGUUCUCCUGGAGAUGACACAGAUACACGGCUGGUUGGUAGAGAUGUAACCACUAUAGAAGUACCACUUGAGUUUCCUACACUAUUCCGGAUUAGAAAGACACGCACUUCCGUAACUCUAGCAACACAGACCACCAUACAGUUACGGGGUCCAAAACAGUUGGGACCUAGGUGUAGGUGUAGACGUACGUUAGGUGUGUCUGGCUCCACCUCGCUCGUCUUCGACUCCGUUUGAUGGACGUAUGGACAAGCAGCUAUAGUUCACUUGAGAGUUGUGUCUAGUGUGGUCACGCCGCUUGUUCUAGGACUCGCGCUACGUGAUCGUUAGACAGUGCGGGCUCCUAGUUUCCUAGAACAUUAAUUCAUCUUCAUCCAUUGAGUGUGCGCAACAGCUAGGCUACCUAAACAUGUUAACCGAACCUGAAACAGAAACAUUACGACGGGGGUCUACGAAGGAUCGGUAUGAAUAUAAAAGAAUGCCAAGUUAACAAAAGAAGGCCGACAAAGUCUCAGGUUUAAUCGAAAGCCGUAGUUGUUACAGACUGACUCCACGGAACGACAUUUUCUUUUGUUACGGACGGACUCAACAGAACGGAACUUAAGAACCUGAUUAAUUGGAGGAUCCAGUCCACUAUCAUCUGUGACCUGGUUGUUACCACCUUGACCUUGGAACUGAAACUUUCUGGACGACCUUGUUACCACUAUACUAUUUAAAACGUGUUAGACGACCUUGUUUAUCGACUACACUAGUUGAGACGUGUUAUGCGACCACCGCUGGUUGGGUUCGUAAGAGUAAAGAGGUACCUAUUUAAACUGAUGUAAAGAUACCAAAAGCACUUCGUAAGAGUAAAGAGGUACCUAUUUAAACUGAUGUAAAGAAACCAAAAGCACGUACCAAGCUACUGACCAGACUGAUCAGAUCUGAUGUAACUGGACGAGGACGACGUGUGGUCGUACCAUCCUGCAUUUUAGACGUACACGUCCGCGAACAGAACCGUGGCGUAAGUAGUCAAGCAAGGUACCGAAAGUCUUGGUAUACCAACCGCCCACGUACUAGUACCGAAGUGCUGACAAGUCGUACAUCCUACACGAGCGGUGGUCUCUGAAGCGAGUUUGGUCGUCCUCGCCACU
This 1951-nucleotide ribosomal RNA is filed under the name Triticum aestivum (bread wheat). Its description in RNAcentral is "partial small subunit ribosomal RNA". Lineage: Eukaryota; Viridiplantae; Streptophyta; Magnoliopsida; Poales; Poaceae. The record is from RNAcentral.